Molecule: ribosomal RNA, 253 nt
Filed under: uncultured bacterium
Lineage: Bacteria
Description: partial 16S ribosomal RNA
Rfam family: Bacterial small subunit ribosomal RNA
Source: RNAcentral
UACAGAGGGUGCGAGCGUUAAUCGGAUUUACUGGGCGUAAAGCGUGCGUAGGCGGCUUUUUAAGUCGGAUGUGAAAUCCCCGAGCUUAACUUGGGAAUUGCAUUCGAUACUGGGAAGCUAGAGUCUUGUAGAGGGUGGUAGAAUUCCAGGUGUAGCGGUGAAAUGCGUAGAGAUCUGGAGGAAUACCGAUGGCGAAGGCAGCCACCUGGACUAAUACUGACGCUGAGGUGCGAAAGCGUGGGGAGCAAACAGG